AGCGAACAUUGGCGGUAGGCUUAACACAUGCAAGUCGAGCGAGGCGUAAUAGUCGAGCGGCGAACGGGUGAGUAAUACUUGGGAAUCUGCCCUGAAGUGGGGGAUAACGUCCAGAAAUGGACGCUAAUACCGCAUAAUCCAUAUCGGGAAAGCGCGCUGCGCUUUAGGAUGAGCCCAAGUCUGAUUAGCUAGUUGGCGGGUAAAGGCCCACCAAGGCGACGAUCAGUAGCUGGUCUGAGAGGAUGAUCAGCCACGCUGGAACUGAGACACGGUCCAGACUCCUACGGGAGGCAGCAGUGGGGAAUCUUGCGCAAUGGGGGGCAACCCUGACGCAGCCAUACCGCGUGUGUGAUGAAGGUCUUCGGAUUGUAAAGCACUUUCAGCGGGGACGACAAUGACGGUACCCGCAGAAGAAGUCACGGCUAACUUCGUGCCAGCAGCCGCGGUAAU
RNAcentral lists this ribosomal RNA (450 nucleotides) under uncultured bacterium. RNAcentral describes it as "bacterial SSU rRNA". It matches the Rfam family "Bacterial small subunit ribosomal RNA", at positions 29 to 524 of the family's 1533-position model. The record is from RNAcentral.